AAUAGAUACCCAGGUAGUCCACGCUGUAAACGUUGGGCGCUAGGUGUGGUAGGCCUCUCCGGUUCUCUGUGCCGCAGCUAACGCAUUAAGCGCCCCGCCUGGGGAGUACGGCCGCAAGGCUAAAACUCAAAGGAAUUGACGGGGGGCCCGCACAAGCGGCGGAGCAUGCGGAUUAAUUCGAUGCAACGCGAAGAACCUUACCUGGGUUUGACAUGGCCGCAAAACCGGCAGAGAUGUCGGGUCCUUCGGGGGCGGUCACAGGUGGUGCAUGGCUGUCGUCAGCUCGUGUCGUGAGAUGUUGGGUUAAGUCCCGCAACGAGCGCAACCCUCGUUCGAUGUUGCCAGCGGUUCGGCCGGGGACUCAUCGGAAGACUGGCCGGGGUCAACUCGGAGGAAGGUGGGGAUGGACGUCAAGUCAUCAUGCCCCUUAUGUCCAGGGCUUCACGCAUGCUACAAUGGCCGGUACAAUGGGCUGCGAUACCGUGAGGUGGAGCGAAUCCCAAAAAGCCGGUCUCAGUUCGGAUCGGGGUCUGCAACUCCCG
Molecule: ribosomal RNA, 542 nt
Filed under: uncultured bacterium
Lineage: Bacteria
Description: bacterial SSU rRNA
Rfam family: Bacterial small subunit ribosomal RNA
Source: RNAcentral